Balaenoptera musculus (blue whale) is the source of this 419-nucleotide long non-coding RNA. RefSeq lists it as uncharacterized. The transcript has 3 exons. Lineage: Eukaryota; Metazoa; Chordata; Mammalia; Artiodactyla; Balaenopteridae. The record is from RefSeq and is a predicted model, not a curated record.
AGGUCUUUGCUUUGUGUGUGGAUCUGUUGUUGGUUGGAGCUCACCUUCGUCUGUUAAACCAUAGAGCAUCAUUCAUAUUCCAGUUUUAGCUUUGUUGAGUGGUGCAAGAACUUAAAGACACGUGCAUGAUAAUGACUUUGGGGAAGGAAGAGAGACUCCAGAACUACUUUGUUCUCUUCAAAGACUGAGCCUCAGGAGAAGAACUGGACCAGUCAACCCUAUGAGAAGUGCCAUGGAAGUGUUAAAGAAAAGGAUCUAGAGGCCAGAAUAUAUGAUAGCAGAAGAGCUUCAGAAGUAUGGAUGAUCUUAGGGUAAUUAAUAAAUAUAAUUGAGAUAUUUUAAGGUAGAUAUAAUUAUAACAAAAAUGCUAUUCAUGCUGCUAUAUUUUCCUUACAAUUUUUUGAUGCCCAUUAGGGGUA